CAGCAGCCGCGGUAAUACAGAGGGUGCGAGCGUUAAUCGGAUUUACUGGGCGUAAAGCGUGCGUAGGCGGCUUUUUAAGUCGGAUGUGAAAUCCCUGAGCUUAACUUAGGAAUUGCAUUCGAUACUGGGAAGCUAGAGUAUGGGAGAGGAUGGUAGAAUUCCAGGUGUAGCGGUGAAAUGCGUAGAGAUCUGGAGGAAUACCGAUGGCGAAGGCAGCCAUCUGGCCUAAUACUGACGCUGAGGUACGAAAGCAUGGGGAGCAAACAGGAUUAGAUACCCGUGUAGUCCCUGUCUCUUAUAU
Molecule: ribosomal RNA, 301 nt
Filed under: uncultured bacterium
Lineage: Bacteria
Description: partial 16S ribosomal RNA
Rfam family: Bacterial small subunit ribosomal RNA
Source: RNAcentral